Molecule: ribosomal RNA, 502 nt
Filed under: uncultured bacterium
Lineage: Bacteria
Description: partial 16S ribosomal RNA
Rfam family: Bacterial small subunit ribosomal RNA
Source: RNAcentral
GAUGAACGCUAGCGGCAGGCCUAACACAUGCAAGUCGAGGGGCAGCACAGAAACAGCAAUGUUUUGGUGGCGACCGGCGGACGGGUGCGUAACGCGUAUGCAACCUACCUUUAACAGGGGGAUAACGGAGAGAAAUUUCCACUAAUACCCCAUAACAUCGAUCAAGGCAUCUUGAUUGGUUGAAAACUCCGGUGGUUAAAGAUGGGCAUGCGUUGUAUUAGGUAGUUGGUGAGGUAAUGGCUCACCAAGCCUACGAUACAUAGGGGGACUGAGAGGUUAGCCCCCCACACUGGUACUGAGACGCGGACCAGACUCCUACGGGAGGCAGCAGUGAGGAAUAUUGGUCAAUGGGGGCAACCCUGAACUAGCCAUGCCGCGUGCAGGAAGACGGCUCUAUGAGUUGUAAACUGCUUUUAAACAGGGAUAAAGCACAGUAUGUAUACUGUGUUGAAGGUACUGUAAGAAUAAGGAUCGGCUAACUCCGUGCCAGCAGCCGCGGUAA